CCUCCGCAGCAUGGAGCAACUGGGCUACU
This 29-nucleotide non-coding RNA is filed under the name Rattus norvegicus (Norway rat). Lineage: Eukaryota; Metazoa; Chordata; Mammalia; Rodentia; Muridae. The record is from RNAcentral.